RNAcentral lists this small RNA (545 nucleotides) under Pan troglodytes (chimpanzee). RNAcentral describes it as "retained intron". Lineage: Eukaryota; Metazoa; Chordata; Mammalia; Primates; Hominidae. The record is from RNAcentral.
UUACUCUGGCUUUGCCGAGAUGGGGCUGCCCCAGCCAGGGCUGUGGCUGAAGAGGCUCUGGGUGCUCUUGGAGGUGGCUGUGCAUGUGGUCGUGGGUAAAGUGCUUCUGAUAUUGUUUCCAGACAGAGUCAAGCGGAACAUCCUGGCCAUGGGUGAGAAGACGGGUAUGACCAGGAACCCCCAUUUCAGCCACGACAACUGGAUACCAACCUUUUUCAGCACCCAGUAUUUCUGGUUCGUCUUGAAGGUCCGUUGGCAGCGACUAGAGGACACGACUGAGCUAGGGGGUCUGGCCCCAAACUGCCCGGUGGUCCACCUCUCAGGACAGAGGUGCAACAUUUGGGAGUUUAUGCAAGGUAAUAGGCCACUGGUGCUGAAUUUUGGAAGUUGUACCUGACCUUCAUUUAUGUUCAAAUUUGACCAGUUCAAGAGGCUUAUUGAAGACUUUAGUUCCAUAGCAGAUUUUCUUGUCAUUUACAUUGAAGAAGCACAUGCAUCAGGUACAGAAAGAUUCUCUGCCUCUUCUACCUCUUCCCACUCUCUUU